AGCGGGGCGGCCCUUUGGGGAGGGGCUCAUGUCCUAUCAGCUAGUUGGUAGGGUAACGGCCUACCAAGGCGAAGACGGGUAGCUGGUCUUAGAGGAUGAUCAGCCACACGGGGACUGAGACACGGCCCCGACUCCUACGGAGGCAGCAGUGGGGAAUAUUGGGCAAUGGGCGCAAGCCUGACCCAGCGACGCCGCGUGGGUGAUGAAGGCCUUCGGGUCGUAAAGCCCUGUCGGGAGGAAAGAACGGUCGGGCGGGGAAUAUCCGCCGGACGUGACGGUACCUCCGAAGGAAGCACCGGCCAAUUCCGUGCCAGCAGCCGCGGUAA
This 326-nucleotide ribosomal RNA is filed under the name uncultured delta proteobacterium. RNAcentral's name for it is "bacterial SSU rRNA". It matches the Rfam family "Bacterial small subunit ribosomal RNA", at positions 202 to 523 of the family's 1533-position model. Lineage: Bacteria; Deltaproteobacteria. The record is from RNAcentral.